UAGACAAUAUUUAUGUACAUAGACUAUUAUAAUUUGAUAUUGUUUUUAACCCCAUUUACCACACUCGUGAAUACUUCCUCAUGUAUUGUUCUUGUAACUGUUCAUGUAAACAUAGUAUUCCAUCGUCUGUGUCAGAUCGGAAAAGCAC
Non-coding RNA from Vicugna pacos (alpaca), 148 nucleotides. The record is from RefSeq and is a predicted model, not a curated record. NCBI's taxonomy places the organism in Eukaryota, Metazoa, Chordata, Mammalia, Artiodactyla, Camelidae.